AACGAACGCUGGCGGCAUGCCUAACACAUGCAAGUCGAACGAGAUCUUCGGGUCUAGUGGCGCACGGGUGCGUAACGCGUGGGAAUCUGCCCUUUGGUUCGGAAUAACAGUUGGAAACGACUGCUAAUACCGGAUGAUGACGAAAGUCCAAAGAUUUAUCGCCAGAGGAUGAGCCCGCGUAGGAUUAGCUAGUUGGUGUGGUAAAGGCGCACCAAGGCGACGAUCCUUAGCUGGUCUGAGAGGGCGAUCAGCCACACUGGGACUGAGACACGGCCCAGACUCCUACGGGAGGCAGCAGUGGGGAAUAUUGGACAAUGGGCGAAAGCCUGAUCCAGCAAUGCCGCGUGAGUGAUGAAGGCCUUAGGGUUGUAAAGCUCUUUUACCCGGGAUGAUAAUGACAGUACCGGGAGAAUAAGCUCCGGCUAAUUCCGUGCCAGCCGCCGCCGUAA
RNAcentral lists this ribosomal RNA (449 nucleotides) under uncultured bacterium. RNAcentral's name for it is "partial 16S ribosomal RNA". It matches the Rfam family "Bacterial small subunit ribosomal RNA", at positions 29 to 523 of the family's 1533-position model. The record is from RNAcentral.